Molecule: long non-coding RNA, 6554 nt
Organism: Canis lupus familiaris (dog)
Lineage: Eukaryota; Metazoa; Chordata; Mammalia; Carnivora; Canidae
Exons: 3
Source: RefSeq, a predicted model, not a curated record
CUUUUCCCAUAGUUCCCACAGGCAGCCAGGAGCCCAAAGGCACAUUUGUAUGAGCUACGGCUGCCGUUUGCUCCAGCUGCGUGAGCACCGCUGGUGUCCAUCCAUGCCGCCUCACUGACAUCGCUUGCAACCCCUUCUGAGACCAGGUGGAGGCCAACUGAGUAAACUCCUUCGUUGGGCUGUCCCGUGGGGCACAGCCCGUGUCCCGUGGCCCCACAGCCAUCCCGUGGGGCAGCCACUAUUACUCCCACCUGACAGAUGCGGGCGUGAGUCCGUGGGGACUGAGCACUUCUCUCUUUAUACAUGGUACUGUGACUUGGCACCUCCCAGCCCCUCAGGUCUCCCCUGCUGCCCACACCUGUCACCACUGCCGAGGCCACCCACUGACCCAGCCCCUUGGAGGUGCCAGCCCCACAAGGGCCCUGGGUGGCACGGAUGCCUGCAGCCUGGAGGUGCAGGAACCCGCCUCAGCACCAUGCUUUCCCCUGUAUUUGAGUUUGCUCCACUGGAAAUGUGGGUCUCUGUCCUGCUCUGUUCGCACUGUACGUGAGGCCCUGGGCAGCGCUUGGUGCCCUCUGGGCCCCGGUCUCCUCUUCUGUGCUCCGAAGGGGUGAGUCAUCUCUCAGGGCUUUUCUAACCCCACGGUGUCUGGAUUCUACGAUCCCCUGUCCCCAUCUCACCCCUCAGCCUGGCUUGAAAGGUGGAUGGUGGAGAAACAGAGGUGGAUUCCAGGGGCUACUUUGACGAGUAGAAACAUAAUUCAUGGAGGACAUUUGGGCAGAAUGAAGGAUGUGGCCAUGUCUCCUCCCUGCCUCCUCUGGAGUUGGUGUCCAGGGCCUCUGAGAGACUUGGUCCGGCCUCCUCACCCAGCAAGGCCCCCGCCAGGCUGCCUCUUGCCUCACAUAUGACCCUCUGUGUGGGGUACCCCCCAGCAGCACUGAAGUGCUGACACUUCAGGCCCAGAGCUCUGGCAGUAGCUGUGGGAGUCAGAGGCAGGAAGAACCUGCUGCCCCAGAGUAGAGAGACCUAGGCCCCCACCAGUGUCACUGGUCCUAGGUGCUGAGACCCUAGCUGGGCAGUCACCCCCAGACCCUUCUCCUGAACUCCAGAGCUAGAGCGAGAAGGAAGGGCUCCUCAGUUCUGGUGGCGGCCAGAGACCUCACUGUCCCUCUGGAAGAUCCUGGGUGGGCUCUGGUCGGACUGGUCCCCAGCAGAGUCACACUCAGGUGCCUGGCUAGGGAGGAGAGGUCAGGAGGGAUGAGGAGGCUCACCCUCCCCCAGUCUGGGGCCCCACUCAGCUGCUGAAAGGUGGGAAAGGAGAAUCUGGCAGGGGGCGCCUCCUGAGCAGGGAUCAUGCAAACGAGGCAGGGGAAAGGAGCCCAGCAUUAAAUGUCAGGAAGAGCCCAGGGCAAAUCGGCUUGUGCAAAGUUUGCUUUGGGAAGAGUGGUUCUACCUGACAGGCUGCUGGCUAGGCUGGGGUGCAGGGUGGGGUGAAGAAAGGGAGGGGGUGGGGCUGGGGCAGGGUCCCAGACUAGGUUUGAGCCCCAGCCCCUGGCCGUCUAGCUCUGGGACUGGUGUAAGUCACUUGGCUUCCUCAGAGACUCAGUGAUCCUGUCUGUUAAAUGGGCUGUCAAGAGCAUGCUUUAAGGAGCUAUAAAGAUUGAGGGCAUGAAGGUGGAUGAAAGUUCCGUGUGAACUGAGAUGGGCUUAACAUUCAGGAAGGUGGCACCUGGGAGCAGAUGAGGGGAUGGGGUAGGAAGAGGAGAGGGAAUGGCAAUGGGGUGAAGAAUGAGGGUAACAAAGGAAGAAGUAGGGGGUGAUGGUCGGUGGAGCCUGGGGAGGAGUUGAGGUUGGCAACGAGGGAGGCCUGGGCCUUACCUGAGGUCAUCCUGCCCUCUAGGUCAGUCUUGGGCAGCUACUGGCCUCACUCACCCCUCUCUGGCCUCUAGGAGGAGCCAGAGCCAAAGCCAGAGCCGCCCGCCUCUCCAGACCUGAGCCUAGGGGUCAAGGCUGGGAAAGCACACAUCUUCGAGCUCUGGCAAAUCCAGCCAGCUAGCCAGCCUCCACCAACUCCUAUACAGCCUGCAAAACCCAGCUCCAGAUGAUCCCUUCCAAGAAAGCCUCCUUUUACGGAGGAGACCACCUUGUCUAACCUUCUCAUUACACAGACAAGGGCUACAGGGAGGAAGAGUGACUUGGCCAAGGUCACACACCAUGGGCCUUAAGCCCAUCCCUUCUUGCCCUCCACCCAGAGCAUCUUUGUCUGCAGGUCAAUCUGAAACGACUUUGCAGAUUACACUCAAGCCUCACCAAGUCGCCUGAGGAAAAAAUGGGGCUCUGACUGUUUCAGGGCUAUUAGCUUUACACCUGCACUGACCUCAGUGGUAAAAAGUGGGUUCUCCUGGUUUUCCUGCUUAUUGCCAACAUCGCAAUUUUAGAUCGCCAACUGAGCGAACACCCUGUUCCCUCAAGCUUGGUGGACAGAGAGGCCCUGUCUCAUUCAGGGGGUCCUUGUGAAAAUCGAAUGGCAUCUCAUUUAUAUCUCAUUUUAUAAGUGGCAUUUUAUCACAGGUUGACUCACAGUAAGCAGGUCUAAGAGGGACUGAGUUUUGGUCUCUGGGGCCCCCCAUAGUGCCUGGGGCAGAGGAAAUUAUUGUCAUUUCUCAAAGGAGAGGGUGGCUCCCCAUCCUGAGAGACCAUCUCUGCUACACCUCAACCUUUCCAGGGGUCCCGAGUCUGUAAGUUUGGGGUAAUGAGCCCCCACGCUGGGAGUCCUCGGCUCUAGCCCCACCCCCAGUUGGGCUAGGGCUUGGCACAGGUCCACACAUAUGCUGGGGAGUCUCCUGCCCAUCCCAUCUGCCACCUCAGGCCCCAGGGCAGCCUGAUGCCUGUUUGUUUUGUUACUCAGUGGAGCAGCUGGUGCUGGGGAGAUGCAGCUUUAUUGGGGAUUCCUGUGAAGCUGUUUAUUGGGGUGGUGGGGGCAGGAAAUGAGGCCUCGUCCCAGCCUUGGCCAAGGAAAGGGAGAAAGGCCAUACUGUCAUACAGGGGACAGGCCUGUGGCCUGGCUCUGGGCCUGCCCACUCCCCAACACACACACACAGAUGCCCGUGCACCUGCAAGCACAUACCCAUACACACACACACAGGAAUGCACAUACAUACAUACCCCUUGUCCAGCUUCAGGGGGACCCCCCAACAUCCAGACCGUUCAGCUCUCUAUCCCAUCAUUACCACUGUCACUUCCCUCUCUCCACAGAAGGCAUCUGGCAAAUCUUAGGGGGGUCUUCAGGGACAUCCCAUUUCCCUGCUAGUGCACUCAGACUGGGGCCCACAGGCCAUUUGCUUCCCUGGGUCCCUGAACCCCCAGCGGUUAGCUCUGCAGCUCCCCAGACCACCUGGGUCCUGCACCCACCACUGCCGCAGCCCAAGCCCUGGCCCUGGGCCUGUCCCCACUGCUCCCAGCCUGAGCUUGGCCCCGAGCCUCCAGCCCUCAGCAAGCCCCUGGACACAGUGGCCUGGCCCCAGGCAGACCCUUCCCUUGGCAGAGCAGCUGCAGCUGGCAGAGCAAAAAGGUCGCCUGUGUUUUACUAGCCAAGCAGAACUGGCCGUGUCUUAGGGGCCGAGGCUCUGCACCUGCAGAGCCGCCUCCCUCAGGCUGCACAGCCCGGGCUCAAGGUGUGGCCUUGGGGGCUCAUGCAGGCUCUGGGGUCCACCCAGGGAGGCAGAUGGGUGGCAGGGGCAGGGGCUUCUGAGGGUGAAGGACCCAGAGCAGAGGGCCAGCAAUGCCUGGGAGGCCAGUUCUGAGCUCACAGACCAUGCCUCCAAGUCCUGCUCUCCCGUCACCCACCUCCCCACAGCUGCGAGGAGGACACCCCCGCAAGGCACUCAGUGUUCCCACCAGACUCACCCGUUAGCUGCCUCGUGCCAGGGAGUCGUCCACCGCAGCGCCAACCUUGGGGGAGGCCAGGAGAAGGCGGAGGCAGCGUGGGCCACUGCUGGGGUUCAGCCAGGCAUCUGGGGGACCAGUGGGACAGGAGGCCAGCAGGGCUGGGGGCAGAGGUGGUGCUCGGGUGGGCCGCUGGGGACCUGGCCACCCUCAAGGGGUGGCCCUCUGAGAUCCCGGGGCCUUGUGCCCUGCAGGGAGCCCUCUGCCCCCAGCCCCAGGGCCACCUGUUGGCACGGUGGCAGGACCUACUGAAGGGGCUUACAUGGAGGCUGUGGUGGGCUCAGGGCAGUGUGGACACGGGCAGAGUGCAGGAAUGUGCUGGGAGGAAGUCAAGCAGCCGUGAGAUGAAGAGUUGGCCAGGCCUGAUUUCCCAUUAUAAGUAAUCCUUCCUUAUUUACCUGAACAAAUACGCUCCCUGCUUACCUCAGACCACAGGCGGGCUCCUAGUUAACCCUUGCAGGCCUCCUUCUCCUCAAAGGGGGAGCCACACUCUCGCCGCUAGACAACCCACUCACUCAUUCACUCAUUAAUUCACUUACACACUCAUGUUCAUUAGUUGAUGCAUAGUUACUGAGCUUAUCUAGUAUGUGCAAGGCACAGGGGGUACAUCUAGAGGGACGUGGGGUAGGGCCCUGAUAGGGAACAGCCAAGAUUGGGGAACAGCCAAGCAAGCUCUGUGGAAAGUCAGAGCCACCCAUGCCUCCUCUCCAACGGAGGUCUGUGGAAGCACCCAGCAAGGCAAGUCAGAGAGGACUUCCUGGAGGAGGUGCCAUCUGGCUCUCCAGGCCUGGGAUGGAGGGAACUUCAGAGAACCCUGUGGAAAAGGACCAGAAGCUCGUGAGCCCACUCACUGCGUGUGGGGCCAGUGUUGUCCGUGUCCCCCCGGGCCUGGUGCAGGUCUAGCGUGCAGUGGUGCUCAGGAACGAUUGGAAGCUCACUGAGCCGGGGGUGGGGGUGACAGGCAGCAGCAGCUUGCUCCCCAACAGCCUCUGAAGGAUGCAGGUGAGGAGGUACCCAUGCUUGGCCCCUCCACCUCCAUGAGUCCCAGGAGGACCGCAGAGCCGAGCUCUCCACUUCCUCCCCAUCCUGCCAGGAACCAUGUGGCUGCUCACAGUGAGAGUAUUCUGGGGCUGCAGGAAGAUUCCAAGGCCCUCGGCACUGGCCCUCUCACCGUAACGGAGGCCCCAAUUCUCCAGCAUCUGCUUGGACCCCUCAUCCUGGAGAGCCCUGUGCUUGGCUGUUAUGGUCGCCGGCAACUUGGUGAAGAAAAUGAGGCUGGAAUGUGAGAAAUGUCUUGCCCAAGGUCAUGCUGAGAAGCAGACUCAAACUCAAAUCUGGAGUUUCCUUGAUUGUGCUGUGCCUGGUAGGACCCUGUUACUAUCCCUUGUCCCCUCAGGGUCAAGUCUCAGGUCCCGGGCAUGAGUCACUGGGUCCACUGGGCCAUGGCCCUCCCCCCUCUGGCUGGUGUCCUCCUCAACUCUCCUCUGGCCAGUUCCCAUCAGGUGAAACGUACCUCCUUCAUCCACAUACCACCCACCUGUUGUGGGCACCCUCCAGACCUGAGGCCUGAUGCCACUUCUUGGGGUUCUUCUCCAACUCACUGAGAUAGUGUAUUCUCUCUUGCCACUGGGAGCUCUGAGCCCCAGCCCCAGGGACAGUAUGCUGUGACAGCCCCAGGACAAGACCCCAGUAGGAGCCUCUGCUGAGUCAACACCCGGAUGAACCAGUAACAUCCUUUGUCUGUUGCUCAAAUGGAUUUACGUUGAGUUUCUUCUACUUGGGAUUACUCCUCAUGCUUCAAGCCCCAUCUCAAGAGCUGGCACCUCCAGAAGGUUUUCUCGUGUUCCCUCCAGCCCUUGCAGACUCCCCAUUUCCCAUUUCCCUGUACUCUAAUGUCUCCCAGUGGUUCUUUUCUCCCUAAGAUUCUCACCUGUCCAGGGCAGGGGCCCCUGAGCUGUGGCAGCACAGGAGCCUGCACACAGAUUAUGGGUCCUGGUGCCAACAGCCUGAGCCCUCUCCCGGGGUGCUCCUGCCACCACUCACCCAUCACCCAUCUGAGAGUGAGAGCACCUAGUGGGGGCAGGGCCCAUUUACUAGCAGGGUGACGGGAAGCCGGCUCAGGCCCCUCUGGGCCUCGCUUACCUCCUCUGUUGUGUGGAGAUCGUACUUGCCCUGCUGACCUUGUGAAUAGAGCACCGAGAUGUGUGAGUGGCCGCUGACAUUGGCGGCUGGAAGUACUGUGGAAAGGGCAGUCAGUGUUGGUGGGUCGGUUGGUCAGAACGUCCCCUUCCUAGCUUUCUUCCCCCAUCCUCCCACCUGGGUCCUCCUAGGAACUGCAGCCUUGGGGUGACGGCAGGGUCAAGGCUGGGCCUCAUGCCAGCCAGAGAGAUGGGGCUGUCCCUCCCAGUUGACACAAGGCCCUGAGAAGGAGGGAAGACUGCCCUGAUGAGGUGUAGAGAGCCUGGGGCUGGUCCCUCAGAUGGGACCGCAGGGGCUGAUGGGCAGGAAGCCUGGCCUGCCACCCGCCAGAGACCAUGCAGUUUUCGUGGCACAGUGGGAGACUCUGAGACCAGCGACGCUGGGGCGCAGACCCAAGGACACACAAAAGG